This 440-nucleotide ribosomal RNA is filed under the name uncultured bacterium. RNAcentral describes it as "partial 16S ribosomal RNA". It matches the Rfam family "Bacterial small subunit ribosomal RNA", at positions 338 to 795 of the family's 1533-position model. The record is from RNAcentral.
CCUACGGGAGGCAGCAGUGGGGAAUAUUGCACAAUGGGCGAAACCCUGAUGCAGCGACGCCGCGUGAGGGAUGAAGGACUUCGGUACGUAAAGCUCUAUCAGCAGGGAAGAAAAUGACGGUACCUGAUCAAGAAGCCCCGGCUAACUACGUGCCAGCAGCCGCGGUAAUACGUAGGGGGCAAGCGUUAUCCGGAUUUACUGGGUAGAACGGGAGCGUAGAUGGCAGCGCAAGUCUAGAGUGAAAUGCCGGGGCUUAACCCCGGAACUGCUUUGGAAACUGUGCAGCUGGAGUGCAGGAGAGGUAAGUGGAAUUCCUAGUGUAGCGGUGAAAUGCGUAGAUAUUAGGAGGAACACCAGUGGCGAAGGCGGCUUACUGGACUGUAACUGACGCUGAGGAUCGAAAGCGUGGGGAGCAAACAGGAUUAGAUACCCCAGUAGUC